RNAcentral lists this transfer RNA (61 nucleotides) under Saemundssonia lari. RNAcentral's name for it is "tRNA-Gly". Lineage: Eukaryota; Metazoa; Arthropoda; Insecta; Psocodea; Philopteridae. The record is from RNAcentral.
UCCUCUUUAGUAUAAAGAACAUAUUCCUUAUUUCCACUAAGGAGAUCCUGCAUGGAAGAGG